UACAGAGGGGGCAAGCGUUGUUCGGAAUUACUGGGCGUAAAGGGCGCGUAGGCGGCCUGUUAAGUCGAACGUGAAAUCCCCGGGCUCAACCCGGGAACUGCGUCCGAUACUGGCAGGCUUGAAUCCGGGAGAGGGAUGCGGAAUUCCAGGUGUAGCGGUGAAAUGCGUAGAUAUCGGGAGGAACACCCGUAGCGAAGGCGGCACUCUGGGCCGGAACUGACGCUGAGGAGCGAAAGCGUGGGGAGCAAACAGG
Molecule: ribosomal RNA, 253 nt
Filed under: uncultured bacterium
Lineage: Bacteria
Description: partial 16S ribosomal RNA
Rfam family: Bacterial small subunit ribosomal RNA
Source: RNAcentral